GUCACUGGAUGUAAGAGACUUUUCAGGGCUUAAAAAUAAGCCGAUACGGUUUGCACAAGAAUUAUUAAAAGUUUUCCCUAGGUAUUUGUCGAAUUACCACUAGAUGUAUUAUUAUCUAUGGAGCAAACCUUAUUUCGAACCCAGAACAAGAAAAAAGAUCUUUGUAAGAAAUCGGAGGCUUGUCUGAGUGCAGUGGUAUUUACAACUAAUUGAUCACAAAUUACAGAUUUCUUUGUUCUUUCUCCACUCCCACUGCUUCAAUUGACUAGCCUAAAAGGAGAAGAAACAGCUAUUUUACUUCUUAAUUAUUAAAUAAAUUUAUACAAGCAUUUUCCUCCAACGUAGCAACAAAAGUAUCUUUUCAAAGCUUCCCUUGUUUACUAUCUAGACACUUAAAUGCAGUCGUAUUUGAAUUUUCUUAAUUCGGAACACUUGGAAAAUUAUCUAAGGGCACUUACAAAACUAAAGAAACUUAAGUAGAACAUAGCAGCUCAAUUAAAUGCUAAAGUAAAAAUGAAUAAGUUUUUGCAAUGAGAAAACAUUUUUGGUGAUCAUAUGUUAAAAUAGAAAACAUGUCUUAAAAACUGAAUCCUUCAUCAAGAUGAACAUUUCUCCAAUAUUGUCUUUGCGGGGGGAGGGGAACUUUGCAAUAGAACGUGGAUCCUGUUCAUGUUUACCUACGAUUGAAUUUGCCAGAAUUCGGUGUUACGUAUGCAGUUAUGCACGAAACAGCUUGCUCUGAGUUCAACAGGGAAUACAGGCCCCUGGUUCUUCUCAGUGUUUGGGAAGGAGAGUGGCCCAAGUUUGGAAGAAGCAGCCAAUUCUCUGACGAGGAAUUGGGAGUCAAGGAUUCCCCGGGGAAAAUUGUUUGUAUUUUUGUUCUUUAAGCUGCAUCAGGCUGGGCGUGGUGGCUCACACCUGUAAUCACAGCACUUUGGGAGGCCAAAGCAGGAGGAUCACCUGAGGUAGAGAGUUCGAGACCAUCCGACCAACAUGGAGAAACUCUGUCUCUAACAAAAUGCAAAAUUAGCUGGACGUGGUGGCACAUGCCUGUAAUCCCAGCUACUCAGGACUGAGGCAGGAGAAUUGCUUGAAGCUGGGAGGCAGAGGUUAUAGUGAACCAAGAUAGCACCAUUGCACUCCAGACUGGUCAACAAGAGCCAGACUUCAUCUCAAAAAAUAAACAACCACAACCACAAAAAACAGAUGCAUCAUUAGGUUAUUUAUUUGAUAUUUUUCUUCUUUUUUGAUGUAGGCACUUACAGCUAUAACUUUCCCUUUUAGUACUGCUUUUUCUGUAUCCCAUAGUUUUGGCAUGCUGUGUUUCCCUUAUCAUUUGUUGUAAGAAAUUUUUCAUUUUUUCCUUAAUUUCUUUGUUGAUCCACUGGUCAUUCAGAAGUACAUUCAUUACCAUGUGUUUUUAUAGUCCCCAAAAUUCUUCUUCUUGUUGACUUCCAGUUUUGUUCCAUUGUGGUAAGAGAAGAUGCUUUAUAUUAUUUACAUGUUUUUGAAUGUUUUAAGACUUGUUUUGUUUCUUAACACAUAGUCUAUCUUUGAGAAUAAUCCCUGUGCUGAGGGGGGACAAAGAUAUGUAUUCUGCGGCAGUUGGAUGAAAUGCCCUGUGAAUACCUAUUCGUUUCUUUUGUUGUGUAGUGCAGGUUAAGUCUGAUGCUUCUUGGCUGAUUUUCUGUCUGGAAGAUCUGUUCAAUGCUGAAAGUGGGUGUGUUAUUAUUGUAUUGGGGUCUAUCUCUCUCUCCAGCUAUUAUUGUAUUGGGGUCUAUCUCUCUCUUCAGCUCUAAUAAUAUUUGCUUUAUAUAUCUGGGUACUCCAGUGUUGGGUGUAUAUAUGUUUACAAUUGUUAUAUCCUCUUGCUGAAUUGUGGGGAGGAAACCCCACAAGAGACGAGGCAAGGGUCUGAAGCCUCAGCAUGUUCUCAUAUAAACAUAGAAGAGAAUUAGAGAUAUAAUUACAUUGUUAUUCCUAUAUAUAAUCAUAAAUAACCACAUAGCUAUUCAUAUGUAAUCAUAACUAUAUACAUAUAUAAUCAUAUAAAUAAUCACAUAGCUAUUCAUAUGUAAUCAAAUACAUAUAUAUAAUCAUAUAAUCUUUAAUCUUACUAAUAAGUCUCAGAUCAAGAAUCAUGGGACUAAAGUGGCAUUG
RNAcentral lists this long non-coding RNA (2160 nucleotides) under Callithrix jacchus (white-tufted-ear marmoset). RNAcentral describes it as "lncRNA (ENSCJAG00000079115.1)". The stretch from base 177 to 275 matches the Rfam family "Y RNA". The record is from RNAcentral. Lineage: Eukaryota; Metazoa; Chordata; Mammalia; Primates; Cebidae.